AAACACAGAACUUGCUGGUCCUUACUCUCACAAACAUUUCUUCAACAACAAGAAAUACAGAACACAAGAGCUAAACCUGCUAAAAUUAGCAAAAUUACCUCCUUAAAUCUAAUAAUAUUCGGAUGCUUAAGGGACCGGUGGUUCAUAAUCUCCC
This is a long non-coding RNA of Rhodamnia argentea, 154 nucleotides long. RefSeq lists it as uncharacterized. The record is from RefSeq and is a predicted model, not a curated record. NCBI's taxonomy places the organism in Eukaryota, Viridiplantae, Streptophyta, Magnoliopsida, Myrtales, Myrtaceae. The transcript has 3 exons.